Molecule: long non-coding RNA, 1081 nt
Filed under: Homo sapiens (human)
Lineage: Eukaryota; Metazoa; Chordata; Mammalia; Primates; Hominidae
Description: HSALNT0352434
Source: RNAcentral
UCCUGCCUCAGCCUCCCGAGUAGCUGGGACUACAGGCAUCCGCCACCAUGCCCCGCUAAUUUUUUGCAUCUUCAGUAGAGACGGGGUUUCACUGUGUUAGCCAGGAUGGUCUCCAUCCCCUGACCGCGUGAUCUGCCCGCCUUGGCCUCCCAAAGUGCUGGGAUCACGGGCAUGAGCCACCGCGCCCAGCCUUUUUUUUUUUUUUAAGACAGUUUUUGCUCUGUUGCCCCAGGUUGCAGUCCAGCAGUGAGAUCUAGCCUCACUUCAACCUCCGCCUCCAGGUUCAAGCGAUUUUCCUGCCUCAGCCUCCCGAGUAGUUGGGAUUACAGGCGCCCACCACCAUGCACAGCUAAUUUUUGUAUUUUUAGUAGAGACGACGUUUCGCCAUGUUGGCUAGGCUUGUCUCGAAAUCCUGACCUCAGGUGAUCCACCCAGCUCGGCCUCCCAAAGUACUGGAAUUACAGGCGCGAGCCACCGUGCCCAGCCCAGUCCUUGUAUUUUUAAGGUUUCAUUUGUGUAUUUUCUUUAGGAAAAUAUUUCAAUAAUUUAUCCCUGCAACUAGCUGAAGUUAUAAAAUUACUUCUGGAUUUGGGAAGAUUAUACCUGAGUAUGGCAAAGGAUUAGAAAUAAUAGCUAGCAGCUGGGUGCAGUGGCUCACGCCUGUAAUCCCAGCACCUUGGGAAGCCAAGGCGGGCAGAUCAGAAGGUCAAGAGACAUAGACCAUUUUGGCCAAAAUGGUGAAACCCCAUCUCUACUUAAAAAAUAAAAUUUUAAAAAAAAUUAGCUUGGUGUGGUGGUGCGUGCCUGUAAUCCUGGCUACUCAGGAGGCUGAGACAAGAGAAUCGCUUGAACUCGGGAGGCAGAGGUUGCAAUGAGCCAAGGUUGCGCCACUGCACUGUAGCCUGGAGACACAGCAAGACUCCGUCUUAAAUAAAUAAAUAAAUAAAUAAAUAAAUAAAUAAAUAAAUAAUAGCUAACUUUUUCUAUCUGCCAGGCACUGUGCUAAAUACUUUGCAUGAAGAUGAUAAUUUCGAAACUAAACACAGAAGAGCAAGUGUAAAAGAAGUAAUUUCUUUCUUUC